Molecule: ribosomal RNA, 253 nt
Filed under: uncultured bacterium
Lineage: Bacteria
Description: partial 16S ribosomal RNA
Rfam family: Bacterial small subunit ribosomal RNA
Source: RNAcentral
UACGGAGGGUGCAAACGUUGCUCGGAAUCAUUGGGCGUAAAGCGCACGUAGGCGGCCUGUUAAGUCGGGUGUGAAAUCCCUGGGCUCAACCCAGGAAGUGCACUCGAAACUGGCGGGCUUGAAUAUGGAAGAGGGUCGCGGAAUUCCCGGUGUAGAGGUGAAAUUCGUAGAUAUCGGGAGGAACACCAGUGGCGAAGGCGGCGACCUGGGCCAAUAUUGACGCUGAGGUGCGAAAGCGUGGGGAGCAAACAGG